Molecule: ribosomal RNA, 268 nt
Filed under: uncultured Eubacteriales bacterium
Lineage: Bacteria; Bacillati; Bacillota; Clostridia; Eubacteriales
Description: uncultured Clostridiales bacterium partial 16S ribosomal RNA
Rfam family: Bacterial small subunit ribosomal RNA
Source: RNAcentral
AGCUUGCUCUUUCCGGAAUUGAGUGGCAAACGGGUGAGUAACACGUAAACAACCUGCCUUCAGGAUGGGGACAACAGACGGAAACGACUGCUAAUACCGCAUAACAUUGCCGAACGGCAUCGUUUGGCAAUCAAAGGAGCAAUCCGCUGAAAGAUGGGCUCGCGUCUGAUUAGAUAGUUGGUGAGGUAAUGGCCCACCAAGGCGACGAUCGGUAGCCGGACUGAGAGGUUGAACGGCCACAUUGGGACUGAGACACGGCCCAGACUCC